GGCCUAGUGGCGCAAUGGUAGCGCGUUACUUUCCGGUAAACAUGGCUGGUAAAGGUUCCAGGUUCGAAUCCUGGCUGGGUCG
This is a transfer RNA of 82 nucleotides. It matches the Rfam family "tRNA". From Rfam's summary of the family: Transfer RNA (tRNA) molecules are approximately 80 nucleotides in length. The record is from Rfam.